CCUACGGGGGGCAGCAGUGAGGAAUAUUGGUCAAUGGACGCAAGUCUGAGCCAGCCAUGCCGCGUGCAGGAAGACGGCUCUAUGUGUUGUAAACUUCUUUUGUCCGGGGGUAAACGCGGAUACGCGUAUCUGUCUGAAAGUAUCGUACGAAUAAGGAUCGGCUAACUCCGUGCCAGCAGCCGCGGUAAUACGGAGGAUUCAAGCGUUAUCCGGAUUUAUUGGGUUUAAAGGGUGCGUAGGCGGUCGGAUAAGUUAGAGGUGAAAUCCCGAGGCUCAACCUCGGAAUUGCCUCUGAUACUGUCCGGCUAGAGAGUAGUUGCGGUAGGCGGAAUGUAUGGUGUAGCGGUGAAAUGCUUAGAGAUCAUACAGAACACCGAUUGCGAAGGCAGCUUACCAAGCUACUUCUGACGUUGAGGCACGAAAGCGUGGGGAGCAAACAGGAUUAGAUACCCGAGUAGUC
RNAcentral lists this ribosomal RNA (460 nucleotides) under uncultured bacterium. Its description in RNAcentral is "partial 16S ribosomal RNA". It matches the Rfam family "Bacterial small subunit ribosomal RNA", at positions 338 to 795 of the family's 1533-position model. The record is from RNAcentral.